CUUUACUCGUUGCGUAAUAUGAUAAUGAGAUGAAGAAUUAUGUUUGGAAUUUUAAGAAUUAAAUAGUGAUAUGGCAGCGUAGUUACUGUGGGAGCUUACGAGUUCUAUUGGCUCAGAUAGAGAGGCUAACAGGGUUCAAACACAGAAAAGUCCCGUGAUCUCCCUUGUUAUUAUCAACAGAUUUAUCUGUUGAUUGACCAUCCAAGGGCAAAACACCCUCAGUCUCAAGAGGAUGAAGCUGUUAUACUCACAACCUUUCUCUUACGCUUCACUCAUAUAAUGAUGUCGACACGCUACUCACUUGUUUAGAAACUUAAAAAUCAAGUAAAAUUAUAUAAAUUUUAGCAAAGUGUAUAAAUAAAUCACAAUAAAAAGAAUUU
Centruroides sculpturatus (bark scorpion) is the source of this 380-nucleotide long non-coding RNA. RefSeq lists it as uncharacterized. Lineage: Eukaryota; Metazoa; Arthropoda; Arachnida; Scorpiones; Buthidae. The transcript has 3 exons. The record is from RefSeq and is a predicted model, not a curated record.